CCUCCCCUCCGUUUCUGCGCACAACUCCCUCGGUCCCCUCUUCUCUCUCCACUUCUCUUUUCUUUCUCUUGCGUCUGCCAUGGCUCGAGCUCGAGUCUGCUCAUGGCCGCUUCAGGUCGAGGAGGGACGGUGCGCCGCCGGACGGAGACCGCAUUGAGCUUCGUUUGCAGUGAGAUGGCUUGAGGCCGAGCUCGAAACUCGAGCGCUAACCAAAGCUCCGAGUUUGAGGUCGAGCGAGUGUUGUCCAUGGCUGGUUGCAAGUGUCGUCCAUGGUGGACAGGAAAAAACAAUGCCCAAGAACAGGCGAGGACGACCCACAUGAUGAAAUCGCAUUAAAUAAGGAAACAGAAGCCGACCCGAUACGCCUACGCGUCCGUUUACAAAACCCAUUUGCUCAUUUCCUCCUCCCAGUUCCGCGUCCGACCCCGCCUGCUGAAAUUCUUCAAGAAAGUUUGGGUUUUUAUUUUUCAUUUCAUCU
This 478-nucleotide long non-coding RNA is filed under the name Eucalyptus grandis. Its description in RNAcentral is "long non-coding RNA (EGRA_LNC004311)". The record is from RNAcentral. Lineage: Eukaryota; Viridiplantae; Streptophyta; Magnoliopsida; Myrtales; Myrtaceae.